This 628-nucleotide unclassified non-coding RNA is filed under the name Hevea brasiliensis (rubber tree). The record is from RNAcentral. Lineage: Eukaryota; Viridiplantae; Streptophyta; Magnoliopsida; Malpighiales; Euphorbiaceae.
CUUCUUUCAUGUAUGCACGGAUGGUCAUUGAUUGUUGGUAGACUUCCAGGAAGAACAACGAAUGAUGUAAAGAAUUUCUAGAACUCCCACUUGUGCAAGAAGCUCAGUUCUUGCGAAGAAGAGGCAAAAGCAAAAACACAAGAAUAAACCAAUAAGAUCAAAGUAAUAAAGCCUCAACCUCGAAAACUUUUCAAAUUCAUAUCAUUUUUCCAGCUACGAGAGACCGCCGACUUUUACUCCGAGUGAUAUUCAAUCAAAAUUCUUACUUGCACCGGAAGAAUCAUCAUGUACCACAUUGGCUUUCGACCCACAAGCAAUACCUUCAAAUGAGACUCUAGAAAAUGAGAGAGAGAUUCAUACUAGUGCAAGUGAUGCUGAUCUUUGCAAGCCGUCCAUGGCUAUGGCAUUGGAAUUGGGAUUGCUGCGGUUGGAUAAUGAAGUUAUGUGGUGGGAAAGCCUUCCGGGUGACAGAAAUCAAUCAAACGAACACUUUCAUAGGCAACAGUUCACUGAGUGGAACUUUAUUCGAAGAUGCUCAGAUAAAACUCAAAGGAGACACCAAUUACUGGAAUGACUUCUCUUUCCAUGUCGACCUUUGGACUCUCCUUGUUCCCAUUCUCUCUUCGAG